UGAAACUCAAAGGAAUUGACGGGGGCCCGCACAAGCGGAGGGAACAUGUGGUUUAAUUCGAUGAUACGCGAGGAACCUUACCUGGGCUUAAAUGCAGAGUGCAUGCUGUGGAAACACACUUCCCUUCGGGGCUCUUUGCAAGGUGCUGCAUGGUUGUCGUCAGCUCGUGCCGUGAGGUGUCGGGUUAAGUCCCAUAACGAGCGCAACCCUUACCGUUAGUUGCCAUCAGGUAAAGCUGGGGACUCUAGCGGGACUGCCACCGUAAGGUGAGAGGAAGGUGGGGAUGACGUCAAAUCAGCACGGCCCUUAUGUCCAGGGCUACACACGUGUUACAAUGGCCGGUACAGAUGGCAGCUACCCCGCGAGGGGAUGCGAAUCUAUAAAGCCGGUCUCAGUUCGGAUUGGAGUCUGCAACCCGACUCCAUGAAGUUGGAUUCGCUAGUAAUCGCGCAUCAGCCAUGGCGCGGUGAAUACGUUCCCGGGCCUUGUACACACCGCCCGUCAAACCAUGGGAGCUGGGGGUACCUGAAGUCCGUGACCGCAAGGRGCGGCCUAGGGUAAAACCAGUGACUGGGGUUAAGUCGUAACAAGGUAACCAAGGGCGAA
RNAcentral lists this ribosomal RNA (606 nucleotides) under uncultured bacterium. RNAcentral's name for it is "bacterial SSU rRNA". It matches the Rfam family "Bacterial small subunit ribosomal RNA", at positions 895 to 1510 of the family's 1533-position model. The record is from RNAcentral.